RNAcentral lists this ribosomal RNA (547 nucleotides) under Aspergillus niger. RNAcentral describes it as "eukaryotic LSU rRNA". The stretch from base 174 to 327 matches the Rfam family "5.8S ribosomal RNA". Lineage: Eukaryota; Fungi; Ascomycota; Eurotiomycetes; Eurotiales; Aspergillaceae. The record is from RNAcentral.
CUUUGGGCCCAACCUCCCAUCCGUGUCUAUUGUACCCUGUUGCUUCGGCGGGCCCGCCGCUUGUCGGCCGCCGGGGGGGCGCCUCUGCCCCCCGGGCCCGUGCCCGCCGGARACCCCAACACGAACACUGUCUGAAAGCGUGCAGUCUGAGUUGAUUGAAUGCAAUCAGUUAAAACUUUCAACAAUGGAUCUCUUGGUUCCGGCAUCGAUGAAGAACGCAGCGAAAUGCGAUAACUAAUGUGAAUUGCAGAAUUCAGUGAAUCAUCGAGUCUUUGAACGCACAUUGCGCCCCCUGGUAUUCCGGGGGGCAUGCCUGUCCGAGCGUCAUUGCUGCCCUCAAGCCCGGCUUGUGUGUUGGGUCGCCGUCCCCCUCUCCGGGGGGACGGGCCCGAAAGGCAGCGGCGGCACCGCGUCCGAUCCUCGAGCGUAUGGGGCUUUGUCACAUGCUCUGUAGGAUUGGCCGGCGCCUGCCGACGUUUUCCAACCAUUCUUUCCAGGUUGACCUCGGAUCAGGUAGGGAUACCCGCUGAACUUAAGCAUAUCAAUA